RNAcentral lists this ribosomal RNA (396 nucleotides) under uncultured bacterium. Its description in RNAcentral is "bacterial SSU rRNA". It matches the Rfam family "Bacterial small subunit ribosomal RNA", at positions 28 to 429 of the family's 1533-position model. The record is from RNAcentral.
GACGAACGCUGGCGGCGUGCUUAACACAUGCAAGUCGAGCGGUAAGGCCCUUUCGGGGUACGACGAGCGGCGAACGGGUGAGUAACACGUGGGUGACCUGCCCUCAGCUCUGGGAUAAGCCUGGGAAACCGGGUCUAAUACUGGAUAUGACUCCAUGACGCAUGUUGUGGGGUGGAAAGCCUUGUGCGGCUGAGGAUGGGCCCGCGGCCUAUCAGCUUGUUGGUGGGGUGAGGCCUACCAAGGCGACGACGGGUAGCCGGCCUGAGAGGCGACCGGCCACACUGGGACUGAGACACGGCCCAGACUCCUACGGGAGGCAGCAGUGGGGAAUCUCGCGCAAUGGGCGAAAGCCUGACGCAGCGACGCCGCGUGAGGGAUGACGGCCUCGGUUGUAAC